Molecule: ribosomal RNA, 976 nt
Filed under: Cibicidoides variabilis
Lineage: Eukaryota; Foraminifera; Rotaliida; Anomalinidae
Description: SSU rRNA
Rfam family: Eukaryotic small subunit ribosomal RNA
Source: RNAcentral
UGGCUUAAUUUGACUCAACGCGGGAAAUCUUACCGGGUCCGGACACACUGAGGAUUGACAGGCAAUAUUAAUACGUGUUCGCACGUAUUAUGUUAAAUAUGCUAGUCCUUUCAUGAUUAUGUGAUAGGUGGUGCAUGGCCGUUCUUAGUUCGUGGAGUGAUCUGUCUGCUUAAUUGCGUUUCACUAAGGGCCUAUAAAUUUACGUGUGUUGCGGCACUUUGACCCCUUUCUUCGGAAAGCGCGUGUCUUAGUUUGCUUUGCUCACACAAUUAGGUCCUGAAAGCAACGAACGUGACCGCAACCUCUUGUUGCCUUUAUACCAAACAUGUUUGACAUUUUUAUGGCAUUCAUGAAAAAAGGCUUUUUAAACUAGAGGGACCGCUGUUACUUUCUUAAACCAGAGGAAGGUUGCGGCAAUAACAGGUCUGUGAUGCCCUUAGAUGUUCCGGGCUGCACACGUGCUACAAUGAUUAUUGCAGUGAGCAUCUCAUUUUUACACACCGCAUGCGCGAGUCCAUUUAUUCACUUCGGUGCUUUAAAUGUGUAUUUCUGCGCGCGGUAAAGCCUGCUUCGAAAGUAAGUGGGUAAUCAAUUAGAAGUAAUGAUUUCCUUUUUAGCACACAUAUAUACGGCGUCUAUACCCGGGUUACCUUGUUGUAACUUUUGUGUGUAUAGAUGUUUUUUCCGUAUGUGCGAUUGUCAAUUCAUGGUGGGGACAGACCAUUGUUAAUUGUUGGUCUCGGUCUUAACUAGGAAUGCCUUGUACGGGUCUUUGGUUCAACAAACCACCCGGAAUACGUCCCUGCCCUUUGUACACACCGCCCGUCGCUCUUACCGAUGGACUUCUCUGUGAGUUUGAGGGACUGGGAACGCAGAAUUUAUUCUGCACACCUAUGGAAACUUAAACGAACAGUGUGGUCUAAAGGAAAGAGAAGUCGUAACAAGGCAUCGGUAGGUGAACCUGCAGAAAGGAUCA